CAGUAGCCACGGUAAUACGGAGGGUGCAAGCGUUAAUCGGAAUUACUGGGCGUAAAGCGCACGCAGGCGGUCUGACAAGUCAGAUGUGAAAUCCCCGGGCUUAACCUGGGAACUGCAUUUGAAACUGUCAGGCUGGAGUCUUGUAGAGGGGGGUGGAAUUCCAGGUGUAGCGGUGAAAUGCGUAGAGAUCUGGAGGAAUACCGGUGGCGAAGGCGGCCCCCUGGACAAAGACUGACGCUCAGGUGCGAAAGCGUGGGGAGCAAACAGGAUUAGAUACCCCGGUAGUCCCUGUCUCUUAUAC
RNAcentral lists this ribosomal RNA (301 nucleotides) under uncultured bacterium. RNAcentral describes it as "partial 16S ribosomal RNA". It matches the Rfam family "Bacterial small subunit ribosomal RNA", at positions 509 to 807 of the family's 1533-position model. The record is from RNAcentral.